Exaiptasia diaphana is the source of this 1236-nucleotide long non-coding RNA. RefSeq lists it as uncharacterized. NCBI's taxonomy places the organism in Eukaryota, Metazoa, Cnidaria, Anthozoa, Actiniaria, Aiptasiidae. The record is from RefSeq and is a predicted model, not a curated record. The transcript is spliced from 4 exons.
AGUGGAGAAAAUUCUAAAUAUAGAAAUCUGAAUGACGUCAYCAUACGCGUUUCUAAAAAUAGCUACCCAACCAAGACCCAACCAAGGUUUUAGUGUUGCAGUACCGCUAUUCUUCUACUACUGGGAAGGCCCGUACCUUGUUCUGAAGAGGAUUAGUGAUGUUGUGCAUAAGAUCCAGAAGAGUCCUCGAUCCAAAGMAAGAAUUAUUCACCAUGAUCGUCUCCGGCCCUACCAUGGAGAGAAGGAAAGCACUUGGUUAGACGACGUUGAAGAAGUCCAGCCAGUUACAGCUGACAGCCACGGAAGACCUUCUUCGAAAAAGACACCUGACGAAUGUCAUGAAAGGCCAGAGACCACGGAACCUAGCCUAGUUCGCAAAGAUGAAAGACGCCCGGCAAGACUAAGAAAAUCCCCUGUGUGGGCUAAGGACUAUAAAUUUUGACUUGUUUUGUAAUAAGGAAACGGGACGUGCCCUUCUCUCAGAGGGGGAUAGUGUAAUAGUGUCCGCAGAAGUCUGGGCCGAGUCAGUGUUUUAGUUAGUCGAGUAUUGUUGUAAAGUUCGGGUUCUUAGUGUAUAGUUCUGGUUUCUGAUCGCAAUAAAGUCAAGGAAAAAGGAUCACAACAAAGCGUUACAGUAUGUAUGAUAAAAAGAUGCGGCUCAAGAAAGUGUGACCUGUGCCUCACUGAAAAACUCACUAUAAUCAAGAACAAUAUUAACACUAACAAAACAACUGAAUUAAUCUCAAAAUGCCGACAUAGGAAUAAAUUUCUCUUAUGUAAUACCCAUUAGGGAUUUCCUUGAUAUAAAUACGAGAUGUGUAAAAAUUAAUGUUCAUCGUAGCCUGAUGAUUGUGUAGCAACAUGAAACUUAUAGUCGCUACCCGCGUCAUSUGUCUUUGAUUCCGCUAACUCAUACGUAUGAUAAAAAGAAAUAUUUUAAUAAAUAUUAAGAUAAUGGAUAAAGUGAUGAUAAAUGUGUUCCUCAGUAUGAAGCUUUCAGCUCGUCAAUAAUCUGAGAAUUUUGUAUGUAAGAAUCCCUCUCACGCAUUGCUAUUUUGUUWGCUUCAUUCUGAUUGGAUUUCGUUAAUGUUGUUUUUCAGGAAAUUGAGAUGAACGACAGGAUGCUCUUCCGUGGAACUCAAGAAUCGGCAUUAGAGAGGACGAAAAUAUUAUCUAACAGCCCGUGCAAAUCCACGACUUCCGAACCUGUUAUUGAAAGGGAAAUCAUGGUAAGUA